CCCUUAGAUGUUCUGGGCCGCACGCGCGCUACACUGAUGCAUUCAACGAGCCUAUCCUUGACCGACAGGUCCGGGUAAUCUUUGAAUCUGCAUCGUGACGGGGAUAGAUUAUUGCAAUUAUUAAUCUUCAACGAGGAAUGCCUAGUAGGCGCAAGUCAUCAGCUUGCGUCGAUUACGUCCCUGCCCUUUGUACACACCGCCCGUCGCUCCUACCGAUUGGGUGUGCUGGUGAAGUGUUCGGAUCGGCCGUUUGUCGCGGUUUCCGCGUCAUGUGGCUGAGAAGUUCAUUAAACCCUCCCACCUAGAGGAAGGAGAAGUCGUAACA
This 325-nucleotide ribosomal RNA is filed under the name uncultured eukaryote. RNAcentral describes it as "partial 18S ribosomal RNA". It matches the Rfam family "Eukaryotic small subunit ribosomal RNA", at positions 1470 to 1796 of the family's 1831-position model. The record is from RNAcentral.